AUACGGAGGGUGCAAGCGUUACUCGGAAUCACUGGGCGUAAAGCGCGCGCAGGCGGCUAUUUAAGUUGGAUGUGAAAGCCUACGGCUCAACCGUAGAACUGCAUCCAAAACUAUUUAGCUAGAGUGUGGGAGAGGAAGAUGGAAUUAGUUGUGUAGGGGUAAAAUCCGUAGAGAUAACUAGGAAUACCAAAAGCGAAGGCAAUCUUCUGGAACACUACUGACGCUGAGGCGCGAAAGCGUGGGGAGCAGACGGGAUUAGAUACCCUAGUAGUCC
This 274-nucleotide ribosomal RNA is filed under the name uncultured bacterium. Its description in RNAcentral is "partial 16S ribosomal RNA". It matches the Rfam family "Bacterial small subunit ribosomal RNA", at positions 523 to 796 of the family's 1533-position model. The record is from RNAcentral.